Vicia faba (fava bean) is the source of this 291-nucleotide non-coding RNA. NCBI's taxonomy places the organism in Eukaryota, Viridiplantae, Streptophyta, Magnoliopsida, Fabales, Fabaceae. The record is from the annotation of a GenBank genome assembly.
AUGGCGUGGCUUUGUUCGCAGCAACUCCGUCUGAUUUGCUUCAGCUCUCAGCUUCUAAUUUCCUCCAUCAAUCAUGAUUUAACACAUCACUACUUCCUUUCCAUUCGCUCGCGAUUUCACGCUUUGACUGCUUCUGUCCGUCUUCAGAUUCGGUUUCAUCUCCGAUUUCAACAUCGUGGCUUCUCAAGGCCCGAUCGUGAUUUUGGCGAAAUUAGAAAUAGAAGUGAACAACAACAAAGCUAUAUGCCACAAGUUUACAUACACAGUGAUGCGGAAAUGAUAAGCAGUUAA